This 93-nucleotide transfer RNA is filed under the name Streptomyces flaveus. Its description in RNAcentral is "tRNA-Gly". Lineage: Bacteria; Bacillati; Actinomycetota; Actinomycetes; Kitasatosporales; Streptomycetaceae. The record is from RNAcentral.
GUCCCAGGUGGUGCGCGGGAGAGUGACGCCGGCGGCCUUCCAGGCGGCCUGGGUGAGGCCGGAGCAGUCGUAGGAGUCGGGUCCUGAGGCGCC